This 498-nucleotide ribosomal RNA is filed under the name uncultured bacterium. RNAcentral's name for it is "partial 16S ribosomal RNA". It matches the Rfam family "Bacterial small subunit ribosomal RNA", at positions 28 to 507 of the family's 1533-position model. The record is from RNAcentral.
GACGAACGCUGGCGGCGUGCCUAAUACAUGCAAGUCGAGCGGACGGAUGGGAGCUUGCUCCCAGACCGUCAGCGGCGGACGGGUGAGUAACACGUGGGCAACCUGCCUGUAAGCCUGGGAUAACUCCGGGAAACCGGGGCUAAUACCGGAUAACUCUUUCCCUCACAUGAGGGAAAGCUGAAAGAUGGCAUCUCGCUAUCACUUACAGAUGGGCCCGCGGCGCAUUAGCUAGUUGGUGAGGUAACGGCUCACCAAGGCGACGAUGCGUAGCCGACCUGAGAGGGUGAUCGGCCACACUGGGACUGAGACACGGCCCAGACUCCUACGGGAGGCAGCAGUAGGGAAUCUUCCGCAAAGGACGAAAGUCUGACGGAGCAACGCCGCGUGAGUGAUGAAGGUUUUCGGAUCGUAAAACUCUGUUGUCAGGGAAGAACAAGUACCGGAGUAACUGCCGGUACCUUGACGGUACCUGACCAGAAAGCCACGGCUAACUACGUG